GUUAUGCAAAUACUCACUGACGGCCAUGAAGGAAAUGUGACGUGCAGGAGGGAAACAAGAAAGACAAACAAAAUCAAUGCUUUGUUGAGUCGAUGUGAAUUCAUCAACUUGUUAUAUAAUGAGACUAAGAGGUGCAUCGCCAACCUACAUACACACUUUGGAGGACUGCAUCAGCCAAUUGAGCCUACCUUUCACCUUUGGUCUUUAAGGAGGCUGGAUAAAGAUGAGCCGCAACGAUAGAAAGAACCUGAAGCUGAACAUAUCUCCAAAGCAAAUGAGGGCUAGAGGUGGGCCAUCGACAAGGAUGGAAGUGGAAGAGGAUGAGGAUUCCUCCUCGUCGUCACCAUCGAUUUCACCGCCGAGCUCGUGCGUGUCAUCUGAGGAGGAACAAAAAUCCAACAGCCCGGAGGCAACAUCAAUGGUGCUUGCUGGAUGUCCUCGGUGCCUCAUGUAUGUGAUGCUGUCGGAGAUGGAACCCAAAUGCCCCAAGUGCCAAAGCACACUUCUGCUUGACUUCCAACAUGACAACAACAGGAGAAAAUGAGAUGAUGAUGCCGUCCUUAGGUGCAUGCAGGCACAGUAGGUCUGCUCUACCAGUCCUAGUUAGUUCAAUCAUUUUGUAAUAGGUCCUCCAAACUUCUCUCUAGAAUUCUAGCAACUUCUCUCACGGAUUCUAUCUAUAUCUUGUUUGUGCCUUAGUUUUUGCUCUCCCUAGCUUAUUUUGUUGAUGAAGACAAUGUAUAUCAACGAACCUGAUUGGCCCAAGAUUUCAAAUCAAAGCUAAUAUAUCUAGUACUUUACGACUUAAA
Long non-coding RNA from Zingiber officinale, 809 nucleotides. RefSeq lists it as uncharacterized. NCBI's taxonomy places the organism in Eukaryota, Viridiplantae, Streptophyta, Magnoliopsida, Zingiberales, Zingiberaceae. The transcript has 2 exons. The record is from RefSeq and is a predicted model, not a curated record.